Molecule: ribosomal RNA, 303 nt
Filed under: uncultured bacterium
Lineage: Bacteria
Description: partial 16S ribosomal RNA
Rfam family: Bacterial small subunit ribosomal RNA
Source: RNAcentral
AGCAGUAGCCACGGUAAUACGUAGGGUGCAAGCGUUAAUCGGAAUUACUGGGCGUAAAGCGUGCGCAGGCGGUUAUAUAAGACAGAUGUGAAAUCCCCGGGCUCAACCUGGGAACUGCAUUUGUGACUGUAUAGCUAGAGUACGGCAGAGGGGGAUGGAAUUCCGCGUGUAGCAGUGAAAUGCGUAGAUAUGCGGAGGAACACCGAUGGCGAAGGCAAUCCCCUGGGCCUGUACUGACGCUCAUGCACGAAAGCGUGGGGAGCAAACAGGAUUAGAUACCCGGUAGUCCCUGUCUCUUAUACC